GAGACAGCAGUCGCCGCGGUAAAACGUAGGUGGCAAGCGUUGUCCGGAAUUGUUGGGCGUAAAGCGCGCGCAGGCGGUUUCUUAAGUCUGAUGUGAAAGCCCCCGGCUUAACCGGGGAGGGUCAUUGGAAACUGGGAGACUUAGAGUGCAGAAGAGGAGAGUGGAAUUCCAUGUGUAGCGGUGAAAUGCGUAGAGAUUAGGAGGAACACCGGUGGCGAAGGCGGCUUUUUGGCCUGUAACUGACACUGAGGCGCGAAAGCGUGGGGAGCAAACAGGAUUAGAUACCCCAGUAGUCCCUGUCUCUUAUA
RNAcentral lists this ribosomal RNA (308 nucleotides) under uncultured bacterium. Its description in RNAcentral is "partial 16S ribosomal RNA". It matches the Rfam family "Bacterial small subunit ribosomal RNA", at positions 505 to 808 of the family's 1533-position model. The record is from RNAcentral.